Ruditapes philippinarum (Manila clam) is the source of this 3289-nucleotide long non-coding RNA. RefSeq lists it as uncharacterized. The record is from RefSeq and is a predicted model, not a curated record. Lineage: Eukaryota; Metazoa; Mollusca; Bivalvia; Venerida; Veneridae. The transcript is spliced from 2 exons.
GACUGUUUGAAACAAAGAUGUUUUUUAUAAAUAAAACCAACUGCUCCAUUUACAAGUGAAAUUGUGAACAUUUGUAAAGGCUUAAACUUGAUUUUGCUGGUAUUAAUUGUAUAUUGACGGUCUUAGCUGACACAUAAUGAUGUUAUUCAUUCAAAAUCUUUUUGUGUAGAAAAGUCUGUCUUUGUAAAUGGGAAAUAUAGACUUUGUUGACACUUUGCAAUUCAGUGCAUAGACAAAAUUGAAAUUAUUGUGUUAACUAACAGAUUUUGAUAUACAUAUAAAUGUCAUAUCCAUUCAGAGAUAGUUUGACUGUAUUCUAAAGAUGCAAGUGUAAUGAAUAUUGAACGUCAUUUAUUUUAUUAUGUUUGUUUUUGUUAAUAAACAUCAAUUAGUGAAAGGGUAGCAGUAGUGGUAAUAAUGAUUCUUAUAGGUCUUAUAUUAUAGGUCUUACAGCUUAAUACCAGAUGAUGCCCUUACAGGAGUGUGUGAUCUCUGCCCAAUCCUUCGUUAUUCCCGUAUAAAUAUCAUUGUUGACACCUUUUUCCAAGUCUUUGUUUUGUUUUUCCAAAUAUUGUUAAAUCCUGUUAAACUUUUCCCAAUUGUUGUAACCAUUUUCAUAAACUUUGUUUAAACCUUACUACCAGCUUUUGAGAAUUUAAUAAACCUUUUUCAAGUAUUUUAUGGAGAGAAUUUUCUAAACUCUGUUUAAACCUUUCUCUAAUUUGUUCAGCCUUGUUUAAACCUCCCUGUACAUGUUAAAUUUUUUCCAUACAUUGUUAAACUUAUUCUCAGUUGUUAUAAUUGUUGUUAUCUUUAUCCUGCUACUGUCUGUAUUAUUAGCUGGAUAAAGCUUUGCAGGAUAAACUUAUCUAACUCCAGUCAUUAUGUCAUCAUAGCCUAUGAUGAUGUCAUAUGGUUAGUGGCCAACCAAAAUUACAUACAGACGCUGUUUUAUUGGGGUAAUGUAAGAAUUAUACCAUUAAAAUAACCUAAAAACAUGAUUAAACUAGACUAAAGCAGGAUAAAUCAAGAACAUGGUUAUUGUUGGGAUGGAGGAGGUUUAUCUGGUUCACUGCAGAAGUGAAUCUUGGCUCGCUAAAGCUCGCGGAGAUACACUUUCUCACGGAGAUACACGUUCUCGCUUACCGGAUGAACCUUCUCCAAUCCGAUAUCAACCAUGUGUUCUCUAUUUUUUCCCAGUCAUUGUUCAAACCUUGCCAAAUCACUGUUUAAAAAAUUUCACCAUUAAUGUAGUUUAAACCAAGUCGUAAAACUAGCUUAAACCCUUUUUUCCCCCAAAUAAUUGUUAAAACUAUUUCCCACUCCUCGUUACAAACCACUUCCUUAUUAUUGAUUCUUGCUUUAAAAUACUGAAUUAUCUAGUAUUAAAUGUUAUUUUUUAAGGUACAUGAAAUUGUAUUCUUACAAUUGUUUAAAUGUUAUUUAAUAUUUGCCUGUUACCUGACUAUAUGUGAAGGGCACAAUUGUACAUUUAAUUAAGAGCAAGUAUUUCAUGUUUGCAGCAUAUAUGUUUGUAUAUCAAAUUUUGAAGUGUUAUGCAUGGUGUAUAGAUACUGAAAAAUACAUUAUAGAUGCAUGUAGUAAAUAUUGCUUGUAAAUAAAUUACAAGGUAACCCUUAAACCUCCAUCUUUAAUUUCUUGAUGAAUUGAUAGUUUAUUUUCUAUUUUCCAGUGUUUCCUGUCAUUUUAUAAGUGAUAGAAAUAAAUCAUUACUAGUUUGUCUAACUUUAAAAACUCACAUGUUUAUUUGAUGUUAAGUUUAUCUUGUUGAACCUACAUAACUUAAGUAUUUAUUUGAAAGGUAAAUGGUUGAAAAAUCUUAAAAGAUUUUUUUUUUUUGAAUACUUGCCAUUAAGUUUGCUUUAGAUAGUAUUGCUAAUCUCUUUCUGAGGUUUAUGAAAUAUUGAGACCACCAUAAAAUGUUUUUGUACUAGAAUACAAAAGAAAUGCCCAUUUUGAAUUUUGAUAUGUUUUUUUUUGUACUAUGGUAAUGUAUAUAUUGUUAUAUAUAUAUUACCUCUAUGAAAUUAAAUAAUAAUUUGUCUGAUGUUAUUAUAUAGUGGGCCUGAUUCUAUUAUGUUAGGAAAUCAUUCAUUGAUAGGCUAUUGUUGUUAUACUGAAGUGUACAUUCAUUCAGAAAAUACAUAUGAGCCGCCUCACGACAAAACCAACAUUGUGCAUUUGUGACCAGCAUGGAUCCAGAACAGCCGGCGCCUCUGCGCAGUCUGAUCAGGAUCCAUGCUGUUUGCUUACCAACCCUAUUACAAGUUAAGAAACUGAUAGCGAACAGCAUGGAUCGUGAUCAGACUGCGCUGAUGCGCAGGCUUGUCUGGAUCCAUACUGGUCGCAAACCCAUUAUGUUGGUUUUGUCAUGAUGCGGCUCAUAUGCUAGUGGCACAUGCAGGUUCCCCAUACGUAUGUUACUUAAGAUGCUGUAUAGCCUACCUAAGGAAAAUGUUAACCUGUAGAACAAUGUUUGCCACCUUGUGGCUUAGGGGUUGCCUUUAAGGGUUGAGGCAUCAGAUUUUUAGCCACAUUUAUGCCUGCAUGAUCGUAAGCGGUGAAUAAAUGGUUCCCUGUUUGGGAGUUGAUGAAUCUUUAAGCUCUAGCAGGUAAGGUGGUUUUGACCUCUGGUAUUGCUUUAAAGUUGUAACACCCGAGGUUAGCUAAAAUCAUCUUUUCCUCUUUCAGCGCCAUAUGACCUAACUUGUGUUAGUGAGCCGUAAAACCAAACAAAUACUGAAUUAUUUUAAUGGACUUGUCUAGCUCCCAUUUUUGGAAAUAAUCAAUUUUGGGAAUUUCAAGAUGAAAAUUUAGUUUUGUCAGCCAACAGUAUAAAGCCUGGUCAGACUGCAUAGUUGUACUCUAUACUGUUGGCAAUGGUGUUCGUUUUUCUGUUCCAUUACUGAAAAUGUUAAUUGAUACAUUCAAAAAUUAUGUAAUUAUUUGAUAGAUCAGAUUAAGCCGAUUUAAUAUGAGCAAGUUUUUAAUGAUACAGAAAUUAUACAUUUUGUCUGUUGUUUUUUUUUAUCCACCACCGCUGUUCUAAUUAUAUGUAUUUAUUAGUUAUAAUUUUUAUAAAUAUUUGUUUUAACAGAUUGUAUGCAUUUGAUCAGUUUUGAAAGAUAUUUUUCUAUAAAUUAGAACUAUUUUUGUUUUGAAGUUGUGUAUGGAAAGGAGUGUUUAAAUGUCUGUGUGUUUUUUGGAUGGAAAUGGUUUGAACUUUGUUUUUUUAUAGUGAUCAAAUAGACGUGUGUGUAUGUGUGUG